This 285-nucleotide ribosomal RNA is filed under the name Pseudoalteromonas sp. RNAcentral describes it as "partial 16S ribosomal RNA". It matches the Rfam family "Bacterial small subunit ribosomal RNA", at positions 69 to 350 of the family's 1533-position model. The record is from RNAcentral. Lineage: Bacteria; Pseudomonadati; Pseudomonadota; Gammaproteobacteria; Alteromonadales; Pseudoalteromonadaceae.
GUAACAGAGAGUAGCUUGCUACUUUGCUGACGAGCGGCGGACGGGUGAGUAAUGCUUGGGAAUAUGCCUUUUGGUGGGGGACAACAGUUGGAAACGACUGCUAAUACCGCAUAAUGUCUACGGACCAAAGUGGGGGACCUUCGGGCCUCACGCCAAAAGAUUAGCCCAAGUGGGAUUAGCUAGUUGGUAAGGUAAUGGCUUACCAAGGCAACGAUCCCUAGCUGGUUUGAGAGGAUGAUCAGCCACACUGGGACCGAGACACGGCCCAGACUCCUACGGGAGGCA